RNAcentral lists this ribosomal RNA (468 nucleotides) under uncultured bacterium. RNAcentral's name for it is "partial 16S ribosomal RNA". It matches the Rfam family "Bacterial small subunit ribosomal RNA", at positions 28 to 507 of the family's 1533-position model. The record is from RNAcentral.
GACGAACGCUGGCGGCGUGCUUAACACAUGCAAGUCGAACGGAAAGGCCCUGCUUUUGUGGGGUGCUCGAGUGGCGAACGGGUGAGUAACACGUGAGUAACCUGCCCUUGACUUUGGGAUAACUUCAGGAAACUGGGGCUAAUACCGGAUAGGAGCUCCUGCUGCAUGGUGGGGGUUGGACAGUUUCGGCGGUUGGGGAUGGACUCGCGGCUUAUCAGCUUGUUGGUGGGGUAGUGGCUUACCAAGGCUUUGACGGGUAGCCGGCCUGAGAGGGUGACCGGCCACAUUGGGACUGAGAUACGGCACAGACUCCUACGGGAGGCAGCAGUGGGGAAUAUUGCACAAUGGGCGGAAGCCUGAUGCAGCAACGCCGCGUGCGGGAUGACGGCCUUCGGGUUGUAAACCGCUUUCGCCUGUGACGAAGCGUGAGUGACGGUAAUGGGUAAAGAAGCACCGGCUAACUACGUG